RNAcentral lists this small RNA (94 nucleotides) under Arabidopsis thaliana (thale cress). Its description in RNAcentral is "ATSL041580". Lineage: Eukaryota; Viridiplantae; Streptophyta; Magnoliopsida; Brassicales; Brassicaceae. The record is from RNAcentral.
UGCAGUUGGAUCUAUUAUUUGAUGAGCCUGGUUUAUAGGUGUGUAAUAAGAAUCGGCCUAUCUACUAAGGUGAACAAUUGAACUCAUUUAUAAU